GGGCAGAUUGCGAGCAGUAGAGGUCACGGAGACGACAUAACCUUAAAAAGGCAAAUAAGGAGAAGAAACAAAGCAAGAUACACCAUCAUAAACCAUUGUUCCAGCUUUCUUACUUGCUCUUCUCUAUACAAUCUUUGAGUCCCCUGAACUCUAAAGAUUCUUCUAUCACCAAGCAUGUACUGGAGGAGAGCACAAAAGCUUACUUCAAGGGGAUUCAGAUAGAUUUUGUAAAGGAAAGAAGACUCAUAACAGCUGACAAUGGAGGUGGCGAUCUAUUUGUAUAUCUAAUCUGUAACUAAAACACAAAUUUAAUUAUAAUUUUUUGUAAUUUAUUUAGCUAUUUUAUUUUAUUGAUUUUGUAAAAAAUAUUUUUUUUAUUAAAAUGUAUAAGUUAGCCACAGCAUAGUUUGUGGCUUUUAUGUGGAAA
This is a long non-coding RNA of Brassica oleracea var. oleracea, 427 nucleotides long. RefSeq lists it as uncharacterized. The transcript is spliced from 4 exons. Lineage: Eukaryota; Viridiplantae; Streptophyta; Magnoliopsida; Brassicales; Brassicaceae. The record is from RefSeq and is a predicted model, not a curated record.